UACGAAGGGGACUAGCGUUGUUCGGAAUCACUGGGCGUAAAGCGCACGUAGGCGGAUGUGUCAGUCAGGGGUGAAAUCCCGGGGCUCAACCUCGGAACUGCCUUUGAUACAGCACGUCUCGAGUCCGGAAGAGGUGGGUGGAACUGCGAGUGUAGAGGUGAAAUUCGUAGAUAUUCGCAAGAACACCAGUGGCGAAGGCGGCUCACUGGCCCGGUACUGACGCUGAGGUGCGAAAGCGUGGGGAGCAAACAGG
This 253-nucleotide ribosomal RNA is filed under the name uncultured bacterium. Its description in RNAcentral is "partial 16S ribosomal RNA". It matches the Rfam family "Bacterial small subunit ribosomal RNA", at positions 524 to 776 of the family's 1533-position model. The record is from RNAcentral.